RNAcentral lists this ribosomal RNA (899 nucleotides) under uncultured delta proteobacterium. RNAcentral's name for it is "bacterial SSU rRNA". It matches the Rfam family "Bacterial small subunit ribosomal RNA", at positions 35 to 916 of the family's 1533-position model. The record is from RNAcentral. Lineage: Bacteria; Deltaproteobacteria.
GCCCUGGCGGGUGCUACCAUGCAGUCGACGUGAAAUGGGGCAACCCAAAGUAAAGUGGCGUACGGGUGAGUAACGCGUAGGUAAUCUACCCUAGAGUCUGGAAUAACCGGCCGAAAGGCUGGCUAAUACUGGAUAGAGCGACGGAAUCGGUAAUUCGGUUUUUCGGGAAAGGGAGCCCGCAAGGGCCCUCGCUUUAGGAUGAGCCUGCGUCUCAUUAGCUAGUUGGUAAGGUAAUGGCUUACCAAGGCUUUGAUGGGUAGCUGGUCUGAGAGGAUGAUCAGCCACACUGGAACUGAAACACGGUCCAGACUCCUACGGGAGGCAGCAGUGGGGAAUCUUGCGCAAUGGACGAAAGUCUGACGCAGCCACGCCGCGUGAGUGAAGAAGGCCUUCGGGUUGUAAAGCUCUGUCGGAGGGGACGAACAUCUAUACAGUUAAGAGCUGGGUAGACUGACGGUACCCUCAAAGGAAGCACCGGCUAACUUCGUGCCAGCAGCCGCGGUAAUACGAGGGGUGCAAGCGUUGCUCGGAAUUAUUGGGCGUAAAGGGUAGGUAGGUGGUCUCAUUUGUCAGGGGUGAAAGCCUUGGGCUUAACUCAAGAAGUGCCCCUGAAACGGUAAGACUAGAGUACUGGAGAGGGUCGUGGAAUUCCCGGUGUAGCGGUGAAAUGCGUAGAGAUCGGGAGGAACACCAGAGGCGAAGGCGGCGACCUGGACAGUUACUGACACUCAACUACGAAAGCGUGGGGAGCAAACAGGAUUAGAUACCCUGGUAGUCCACGCCGUAAACGAUGGGUACUAGGCUUGGCGGGUCUUGACCCCUGCCGAGCCGGAGCUAACGCAAUAAGUACCCCGCCUGGGAAGUACGGUCGCAAGACUAAAACUCAAAGGAAUUGACGG